GAAAAACCUUGUGUUGAUUGGCUCACACAAGGUGUGACUCUGCUGUGUUGCUGAAAGGGCUUUGGACUUGGACUUAAGGCCAGAAGGAGGUGCUCGUGGCAGGGCUAUAGGUGUUGAAUUCAAGCUGGAAGAAAUCUAAAUACAGCACUACAUUUGUCAUGCUAUGGUUUCUGAUCAGAGACUUGUGCUAGCUGAAUCAGUGGGUGUGGUAUUUCCCAUGGAGAAAGGAGCAACAGGUGUUGAACUGUUUAUGUGAUGUCGCUAUUAGAGGAGCUAUGUGACAUGAUAUGUUUCAUUGGCUUCUCUCACCCCCUUUCAUGUGUGUACACACAGAGAGAUUUCAGUCAAACCUCUUAUCUGAAUUUGAGUUAAUUGAAAAUCUGGGACCCAGAGGAAUCAAUCCCACAGGUCAUGUGAAGAUUGGCUCUAUCCCCUGAAAAUUCAGCCUCAUGGAGCUCCUAUGCUAAAUUCUGCAGGGCCUGAGCUUUCAUCCUGCUGAGUGUAGGAGCUCCAAAGACUAAAUUGCACAAAAUCUCAACCCUGCAUUGCACAGCUCUGCAGGACCAGAGCUCUUGUUCCAGUGAGCCCACCAGAGCACUAAAGUCUACAUAACUGCAAGUCUUACAUCACUGAACUUCUAAGCUCCGCAGUACUGGAGUAAACUUCAGGAAGCUCCUAAUCACUGCAGGAGUGGAGCUACAGAGCAGUUGCUGAGUUGCUAGUAUCAUGACCCAGAGUACAGUUCUCAAACAAAGCCUUCUGAAAGUACCAAAGACUGUUGGAUACCUGAUUGUCUACUGAGCAGUGCAAGGUGUGUUUGUUUUU
Molecule: non-coding RNA, 825 nt
Organism: Pelodiscus sinensis (Chinese soft-shelled turtle)
Lineage: Eukaryota; Metazoa; Chordata; Testudines; Trionychidae
Source: RefSeq, a predicted model, not a curated record